CUUCCUUCCCCCUUUCCUCUAACUGCUCUUUUGUCUUCAGGAAGGUACAAGUCAGGAAUUUCGAUUUCUGGAGCUCCUCAAGUGGAGUCGAUUUCUGGAGUGCCCAACCCUGCAAGGUCCUUGCUGGUCAUUAGCACCUUACAAAGUAUUCCUGUCAUCACCAGCUAGGCUCUUAUGUGAGCUCUGAGCAGGGGGAGUUCCUGGCACUGGUCUCUAAGCUUUUAAACAAUCAUUCACGGUUAUUUGAAGAGAUACUGAAAAUUACAGUUUAGGCCUUUCUGAAAAAAUCUUUUCCUUCCUCUGAGGUAGACAAAAUUCAUUGUCAUUUACAGAGCCUAUAUUAUGGUUUUUUUUGCUUUCUUGCAGGUUAUUGGCAGUACCUGGUGUUGCUAAGGCUGAUUUAAUUCCUAUUCCCAGAGGCAGCUUUUCCAAGGUGAUUCCUGACUUUUUUUUGCUUUCUUGCAGGUUUUUGGCAGUACCUGGUGUUGUUAAGGCUGAUUUAAUUCCUAUUACCAGAGGCAGCUUUUCCAAGGUGAUUCCUGACACAGGAGAUGAAUCCUGCUGCAGGGACGUGUUGCCUUCACUCCUCUUCCAGAAAACUCUUCUGAGACCGAUUCUCCCUCAAAGCUGUCCUGGUGAUCAUACAGCAGAAAAAUAAUUCCCCAACAGUUGGACCAGGGUAUAGUCUGAAAAUUAUGUUCUCUUACAUUAUAGAUUGAAAUAGAGAUCUUUUCCAGGCAUACAUUUUUUUUUUUUUUUUUUUUUUUUUUUUUUUUUUUUUUUUUUUUUUGUUACUGAAUCUUCUUCUUGUGAAAGAGCUUCAGAGGGAUCUUUCAGUGAAGGAGCUUUGGGACUUUCAGCUGCAGACACAAGAGUUUUCAGAGGGCUGUCAAAGAACACAUGGCUUCAAAGCAUAAGGAUGAGUGGGAAGUGGGAGAAAAAAGGCUGCAUUUUAUGACUGUUCAAGCAAACUAAAACUGCCUCUUGACCUCCUUGCUCCAGCACUGCUUUGUGAUUCCUACAGGUUUCAAGCCCUUACCUGAAAAGGCAGUUUUUUGAAACACAAGCAAAGCCAUUCUGCAUUUUCAACCCCCUGUACAAAUUUAGUGGAUAACAAUGAAAACAAGCCACUCCUGUAUAGUAAGAAACUAGUUGUACAAAUUAGAUUAAAAAUGGGUGAUUAGUCACUUCUUUGAUUCACUACAAAUAAAAAAAAAAAAAAAAUUAAAAAAAAAAAAAGACAUGGACAGGCAGAUGUGUUCUUCACCAGAACUAAAGUAAAAAUUUUAAACUUUUUUUUUAAUACAGGAAAUUUUUGGUUGAAUGGAACAUUUCAGGCAUGUUAGAUCCAAACUAAACAAAGGAUGAAUGCCAAAGGGUAGGGAU
This 1386-nucleotide long non-coding RNA is filed under the name Ficedula albicollis (Collared flycatcher). Its description in RNAcentral is "lncRNA (ENSFALG00000026968.1)". Lineage: Eukaryota; Metazoa; Chordata; Aves; Passeriformes; Muscicapidae. The record is from RNAcentral.